GUUUUUGCAAAAAUGCCAAAGACUCCAAAAACGAUAAUGCCUCUUUAAUUCUGCAGAACAACUGGUUUAAAAAUGUUCUCCAUCCCUGACUUAUGAAGUUGAAAAGCCCAAGAAUCCAAGAAAAUGUAAUAAAAAUAUUUGUGACCAAAAAUAGGAUAUCAUUGAAGGAAAGAAGAUGCAAUGAUAAACACUCAAAGACAUACCCAUGUAAAAUCUACAUGGCGAUGUUACUACAGUAAUGACUAUAACUAUGAGUUGACGCAAAAAUAAAGAAUUAAAAACAAAAAAACAAAAGAAAACCUCAAAGACAGG
This is a non-coding RNA of Pelobates cultripes (western spadefoot toad), 312 nucleotides long. NCBI's taxonomy places the organism in Eukaryota, Metazoa, Chordata, Amphibia, Anura, Pelobatidae. The record is from the annotation of a GenBank genome assembly.